AGGUCCAGCCUGCCCAGUGACUUAGGUUCAACGGCCGCGGUACUCUAACCGUGCAAAGGUAGCACAAUCACUUGUUCUUUAAAUGAGGACUAGAAUCAACGGCACCACGAAGAUCAUACUGUCUCCCCCCUCCAAUCAGUGAAACUGAUCUUCCCGUGAAGAAGCGGGAAUAUAAAUAUAAGACGAGAAGACCCCAUGGAGCUUUAAACCCAACAGCACCCAUUUUUUAUUACCCUCACAUUCGCUAGGCCCUGACUGUUUGGUUUUAGGUUGGGGUGACCACGGAGUAAAAAACAACCUCCAUGAAAAAAGAACUAAAAAUCCUUAUCUAAGAAGAACACUUCAAAGAAUUAACAAAUUAAUUUUUAAUGAUCCGUUAUACGAUCAACGAACCAAGUUACCCUGGGGAUAACAGCGCAAUCCACCUUAAGAGCCCAUAUCGACAGGUGGGUUUACGACCUCGAUGUUGGAUCAGGGUAUCCCAGUGGUGCAGCAGCUACUAAGGGUUCGUUUGUU
Molecule: ribosomal RNA, 516 nt
Filed under: Boophis jaegeri
Lineage: Eukaryota; Metazoa; Chordata; Amphibia; Anura; Mantellidae
Description: partial 16S ribosomal RNA
Rfam family: Bacterial large subunit ribosomal RNA
Source: RNAcentral